ACUCCUACGGGAGGCAGCAGUGGGGAAUAUUGCACAAUGGGCGCAAGCCUGAUGCAGCCAUGCCGCGUGUAUGAAGAAGGCCUUCGGUUGUAAAGUACUUUCAGCAGUGAGGAAGGCGGAGUCGUUAAUAGCGGCCUCGUUUGACGUUAGCUGCAGAAGAAGCACCGGCUAACUCCGUGCCAGCAGCCGCGGUAAUACGGAGGGUGCGAGCGUUAAUCGGAAUUACUGGGCGUAAAGCGCAUGCAGGUGGUUUGUUAAGUCAGAUGUGAAAGCCCGGGGCUCAACCUCGGAAUUGCAUUUGAAACUGGCAGACGUAGAGUACUGUAGAGGGGGGUAGAAUUUCAGGUGUAGCGGUGAAAUGCGUAGAGAUCUGAAGGAUACCGGUGGCGAAGGCGGCCCCCUGGACAGAUACUGACACUCAGGAUGCGAAAGCGUGGGGAGCAAACAGGAUUAGAUACCCUGGUAGGAUAGCG
Molecule: ribosomal RNA, 473 nt
Filed under: uncultured bacterium
Lineage: Bacteria
Description: bacterial SSU rRNA
Rfam family: Bacterial small subunit ribosomal RNA
Source: RNAcentral